RNAcentral lists this transfer RNA (66 nucleotides) under Aegolius funereus (boreal owl). RNAcentral's name for it is "tRNA-Phe". It matches the Rfam family "tRNA". Rfam says of the family: Transfer RNA (tRNA) molecules are approximately 80 nucleotides in length. Their secondary structure includes four short double-helical elements and three loops (D, anti-codon, and T loops). Lineage: Eukaryota; Metazoa; Chordata; Aves; Strigiformes; Strigidae. The record is from RNAcentral.
GUCCCUGUAGCUUAACACAAAGCAUGGCACUGAAGAUGCCAAGAUGGCUUCCCAUGCCCGAGGACA